This is a non-coding RNA of Erinaceus europaeus (western European hedgehog), 108 nucleotides long. NCBI's taxonomy places the organism in Eukaryota, Metazoa, Chordata, Mammalia, Eulipotyphla, Erinaceidae. The record is from Rfam.
UUGCUCACUUUGGCAGCACAUAUACUAAAAGCUGGAACCAUACAGAGAAGAUUAGCAUGGCCCCUGAACAAGAGUGGCAUGCAAAUUCAUGAAACAUUCCAUGAAAAA